This 551-nucleotide ribosomal RNA is filed under the name Trigonopterus pendolensis. RNAcentral's name for it is "partial 16S ribosomal RNA". Lineage: Eukaryota; Metazoa; Arthropoda; Insecta; Coleoptera; Curculionidae. The record is from RNAcentral.
GGCUCACACCGGUUUAAACUCAGAUCAUGUAAAAUUUUAAAGGUCGAACAGACCUAACUUAUUAGCCUCUACACCAAUAAUUAAUUUUAAUCCAACAUCGAGGUCGCAAUCUUUUCUUUCGAUAAGAACUCUAAAAAAAAUUACGCUGUUAUCCCUAAGGUAAUUUAAUCUUAUAAUCUAAACUUUAGGAUCACUCAUAUACAAAUCAAUAUUCUAAAAUAAAAAAAGUUAAACUAAUUUUUCUAUCACCCCAACAAAAUAAACUCUUUAAAUAUUUAUACACUUAAUCCUUCAAUUAAAAUAUUUAAAUAUCUAUAAAACUCUAUAGGGUCUUCUCGUCUUCUACAUUAAUUUGAGCUUUUUUACUCAAAAAUAAAUUUCUAUUAAAUUCUAAUAGAGACAGCUAUUUUUUCAUCAAACCUUUCAUUCCAGCUUUCAAUUAAAAAACUAAUGAUUAUGCUACCUUUGCACGGUCAGUAUACCGCGGCCAUUUAACUGCUCAGUGGGCAGGUCAGACUUGAAAUUAUUAUCAACAAGCCAUGUUUUUAAUA